This 963-nucleotide ribosomal RNA is filed under the name Halomonas sp. ADMK23. Its description in RNAcentral is "bacterial SSU rRNA". It matches the Rfam family "Bacterial small subunit ribosomal RNA", at positions 21 to 974 of the family's 1533-position model. The record is from RNAcentral. Lineage: Bacteria; Pseudomonadati; Pseudomonadota; Gammaproteobacteria; Oceanospirillales; Halomonadaceae.
GGCUCAGAUUGAACGCUGGCGGCAGGCCUAACACAUGCAAGUCGAGCGGCAGCGAUGGAGAGCUUGCUUCCUGGUGUCGAGCGGCGGACGGGUGAGUAAUGCAUAGGAAUCUGCCCGGUAGUGGGGGAUAACCUGGGGAAACUCAGGCUAAUACCGCAUACGUCCUACGGGAGAAAGCAGGGGAUCUUCGGACCUUGCGCUAUCGGAUGAGCCUAUGUCGGAUUAGCUAGUUGGUGAGGUAACGGCUCACCAAGGCCACGAUCCGUAGCUGGUCUGAGAGGAUGAUCAGCCACAUUGGGACUGAGACACGGCCCGGACUCCUACGGGAGGCAGCAGUGGGGAAUAUUGGACAAUGGGGGCAACCCUGAUCCAGCCAUGCCGCGUGUGUGAAGAAGGCCCUCGGGUUGUAAAGCACUUUCAGUGAGGAAGAACGCCUGGGGGUUAAUACCCUCCAAGAAAGACAUCACUCACAGAAGAAGCACCGGCUAACUCCGUGCCAGCAGCCGCGGUAAUACGGAGGGUGCGAGCGUUAAUCGGAAUUACUGGGCGUAAAGCGCGCGUAGGCGGCUUGAUAAGCCGGUUGUGAAAGCCCCGGGCUCAACCUGGGAACGGCAUCCGGAACUGUCAGGCUAGAGUGCAGGAGAGGAAGGUAGAAUUCCCGGUGUAGCGGUGAAAUGCGUAGAGAUCGGGAGGAAUACCAGUGGCGAAGGCGGCCUUCUGGCCUGACACUGACGCUGAGGUGCGAAAGCGUGGGUAGCAAACAGGAUUAGAUACCCUGGUAGUCCACGCCGUAAACGAUGUCGACUAGCCGUUGGGGUCCUCGAGACCUUUGUGGCGCAGUUAACGCGAUAAGUCGACCGCCUGGGGAGUACGGCCGCAAGGUUAAAACUCAAAUGAAUUGACGGGGGCCCGCACAAGCGGUGGAGCAUGUGGUUUAAUUCGAUGCAACGCGAAGAACCUUAC